GGCGCGCUGGCAACUCGCCUAUGAGCGACGUGCGCGCUCCGCACUCGAAAUCAGGCGUACCGCAAGGUACCGUGAGUUCGAAUCCCACCCUCUCCGCCA
This 99-nucleotide transfer RNA is filed under the name Rhizobacter sp. SG703. RNAcentral's name for it is "tRNA-Ser". Lineage: Bacteria; Pseudomonadati; Pseudomonadota; Betaproteobacteria; Burkholderiales; Sphaerotilaceae. The record is from RNAcentral.